UCCACGUGGUUGUCCGAAGGUGGUGCACAGCAAACGCAAGAGGGAAUCCGGUGCAAUUCCGGAACUGUCCCGCAGCGGUAAUCUGGAACAAAAUUCGCCAACGGCACUGAGGUUAUUUCAACCUUGGGAAGCGGCGAAAAGUAGGAAAAUUGAUAAUAAGGUUCUGCACGUAAGCAUCGAAGCAAGCGGCAGUCGUCAUCCCCUUAUUGUCGGUCACGCCAGGAAGUCCGAAUACCUGCCUGAUGCGCCGAAGACAC
RNAcentral lists this non-coding RNA (257 nucleotides) under Corynebacterium sp. Lineage: Bacteria; Bacillati; Actinomycetota; Actinomycetes; Mycobacteriales; Corynebacteriaceae. The record is from RNAcentral.